GAUGAAGAACGCAGCGAAAUGCGAUAAGUAAUGUGAAUUGCAGAAUUCAGUGAAUCAUCGAAUCUUUGAACGCACCUUGCGCUCCUUGGUAUUCCGAGGAGCAUGCCUGUUUGAGUGUCAUUAAAUUUUCAACCUCACCAGUUUUGUAAUGAGACUGUGUA
Molecule: ribosomal RNA, 161 nt
Filed under: Ephemerocybe heterosetulosa
Lineage: Eukaryota; Fungi; Basidiomycota; Agaricomycetes; Agaricales; Psathyrellaceae
Also listed under: 1 other name
Description: Coprinellus heterosetulosus 5.8S ribosomal RNA
Rfam family: 5.8S ribosomal RNA (bases 1-120)
About the family: 5.8S ribosomal RNA (5.8S rRNA) is a component of the large subunit of the eukaryotic ribosome. It is transcribed by RNA polymerase I as part of the 45S precursor that also contains 18S and 28S rRNA. Functionally, it is thought that 5.8S rRNA may be involved in ribosome translocation.
Source: RNAcentral